UUAUUGGUUUAUUUAUUUGCCGUAGGUGCUUCUAUCUCGUUUCCUCAGAUGCUCCUGUCACGGCCAUUUGAGAGCUUCGGACCUUGCUGAUUUCUUCAAAGAGGAAACUGAUAAAGUAUGAUGACUGUGCUGCUGACUGUGACUUUCCUUAUGCAUCCUACCUAUCUUGUCUCUUUUUCCAUCCAGAUGAAUGAGAUUCUAAGGCUGAGAGCAGGUGUUUGUGAUGAGAUCCCAUGCUGUGACAUGCAUGCAGCACAUUCUUACAUGAAAAGCCCUGGCUGAUGAAAUGACCACAGGAAGACAACAUGGAACCCUCCCGGCACGAUCAGAAGAAGCUUAAUUAAGCUCUGUGAUUAAUUUUAAAGUGAGUAUGUACCUAUUUUAGAAGAAUAAUAAGAAAACUGAAAACAUGGCUUUUUUUUGGUUAUGUUUUGGUCUUCCUGACAUUCCUCAAGC
This 456-nucleotide long non-coding RNA is filed under the name Calidris pygmaea (Spoon-billed sandpiper). Its description in RNAcentral is "lncRNA (ENSCPGG00000015612.1)". The record is from RNAcentral. Lineage: Eukaryota; Metazoa; Chordata; Aves; Charadriiformes; Scolopacidae.